GUCGAUGAGACCGCACCGCGAAUCUCCCGAGAACAGUCGCUUCCACGGCCUCGGAGCGGGCGAGUUGUUGAUCCCCUUGGAAAAAAGGAAAACACGCUCUCUUGUUGCGGCGACGAGUGUAAUGGCCACCGUGGGCCUAGGAUAGUAAAGGAGGUGGUUGGGAUUCUUUGAUCAAAACGCUGGCAAUCAACAAACGACUUAUUAGCUAGUUAAGAUCAGUGAAUUUAAUUCGUGUGUGUCGAACUGCCGCUUUUUCAUUUUGAUCAGUGGCUUUUGUCCGGUGAAGAGUGCGUGUACAUCAAGUAGUGCAUCAGUGUACUUAAUGUGUGCCAGCCAUUGUCGAGCGUGCAUCGUAGUGCCGGUCAUCUAAUCAUCGACCACACUGGAUAAUAUUGCUUAUUCGUUUCGUCUAUUGGAUUCUACCUUUUUAAUACACAACGCGUCAACGGUCCGAGGCAAGGAAUAAUUCGGAACAACGACUUUCCUCACUUCCAUGAAAACGGCCUCCUAUUAUUAGGUUACCGUUGAAUACCAGACGACCGCGAUAAGCAAUCCUUAGAAUCAAGAAACAAAAAUCCGAAGAAUCCUUAGAAUCCUUAGAAAACAACCAGGUUUCAAUCUGUCGCUUCUUCUCUGUCAGCUUACCCGUCGAAAUUACGUUUUCGAGUCACUUCACGGAACGAGAUUUGCCUAUGCAUCAAGGGAGGGAGAGAAGUUCACCCUCUAUCGACGGAAUUUUUGCAAUACACUUUUGAAUAGCCGCCACUGCUUGUGCUCGACCGAGCGCUCGCUCCGAGCUUUUCAACGGGAUACACACAAACCUGUACACAUGCACUCGGGUAAAGAGACAAAUCGUGGCUUAGGGCGUGAGAAAGAUGGAGUGUAAAGAGUGAGGAGUGGGAUAUGGUUGAGAUGGAGAGGGAAUGUACAGAGUGAUAACUAUUCUCUCGCUGAAACUGCGCGUUACCUUGUUGCCUGGUAGGAAGAAAAGCUAUUCUGGUGCAAAUUGAACGGUACCGUGGAGUAUAUAAUUUGCACGUGACAAAUUUGUUACCAUACCUUUCCCGUGACUUUAAUUAACCAAUUGUGCUCUCAUAUUAAAAUCAUUUAACUUUUUUUUUUUUUUUUUAUUGAUUUUAAAGUAUAAUUUUAUAUUAUUU
Molecule: long non-coding RNA, 1160 nt
Organism: Apis florea (little honeybee)
Lineage: Eukaryota; Metazoa; Arthropoda; Insecta; Hymenoptera; Apidae
Source: RefSeq, a predicted model, not a curated record